AUUGAACGCUGGCGGCAGGCUUAACACAUGCAAGUCGAGCGGGGGAAGGUAGCUUGCUACCGGACCUAGCGGCGGACGGGUGAGUAAUGCUUAGGAAUCUGCCUAUUAGUGGGGGACAACAUCUCGAAAGGGAUGCUAAUACCGCAUACGUCCUACGGGAGAAAGCAGGGGAUCUUCGGACCUUGCGCUAAUAGAUGAGCCUAAGUCGGAUUAGCUAGUUGGUGGGGUAAAGGCCUACCAAGGCGACGAUCUGUAGCGGGUCUGAGAGGAUGAUCCGCCACACUGGGACUGAGACACGGCCCAGACUCCUACGGGAGGCAGCAGUGGGGAAUAUUGAACAAUGGGGGGAACCCUGAUCCAGCCAUGCCGCGUGUGUGAAGAAGGCCUUAUGGUUGUAAGGCACUUUAAGCGAGGAGGAGGCUACUUUAGUUAAUACCUAGAGAUAGUGGACGUUACUCGCAGAAUAAGCACCGGCUAACUCUGUGCCAGCCGCCGCCGUAA
RNAcentral lists this ribosomal RNA (501 nucleotides) under uncultured bacterium. Its description in RNAcentral is "partial 16S ribosomal RNA". It matches the Rfam family "Bacterial small subunit ribosomal RNA", at positions 30 to 523 of the family's 1533-position model. The record is from RNAcentral.